RNAcentral lists this ribosomal RNA (499 nucleotides) under uncultured bacterium. Its description in RNAcentral is "partial 16S ribosomal RNA". It matches the Rfam family "Bacterial small subunit ribosomal RNA", at positions 28 to 507 of the family's 1533-position model. The record is from RNAcentral.
GACGAACGCUGGCGGCGUGCUUAACACAUGCAAGUCGAACGGGCCCGCUCUCUUUUUUGGGGGUGGGUUGAGUGGCGAACGGGUGAGUAUCACGUGAGUAACCUGCCCCCUGCUCCUGGAUAACUGCUUGAAAGGGCGGCUAAUACGGGGUGUGCCGGCUGGUCCGCAUGGGCCUGGUCGGGAUAGUUUCAUCUUCGGGUGUUUCGGUGGGGGAUGGGCUCGCGGCCUAUCAGCUUGUUGGUGGGGUGAUGGCCCACCAAGGCGGUGACGGGUAGCCGGCCUGAGAGGGUGGGCGGCCACACUGGGACUGAGACACGGCCCAGACUCCGGCGGGAGGCAGCAGGGGGGGGUAUUGCACAAUGGGCGGAAGCCUGAUGCAGCGACGUCGCGUGAGGGAUGGAGGCCUUCGGGUGGGGAACCUCUUUCUCCGGUGGUGAAGGCCCUGUCCGUUGCGGCGGGGUUGACGGUAGCCGGGUAUGAAGCGCCGGCUAACUACGUG